GAGUUUGAACCUGGCUCAGGAUGAACGCUGGCGGCGUGCUUAACACAUGCAAGUCGAACGGGGAUGCCAUUUUUGAAGCGAUUAGCUUGCUGAGAGUGGAAAUGUUGGCAUCUUAGUGGCGGACGGGUGAGUAACGCGUGGGGAACCUGCCCUGUACAGGGGGAUAACACUUAGAAAUAGGUGCUAAUACCGCAUAAGCGCACAGUAUCGCAUGAUACAGUGUGAAAAACUCCGGUGGUACAGGAUGGACCCGCGUCUGAUUAGCUGGUUGGCGGGGUAACGGCCCACCAAGGCGACGAUCAGUAGCCGGCCUGAGAGGGUGAACGGCCACAUUGGGACUGAGACACGGCCCAAACUCCUACGGGAGGCAGCAGUGGGGAAUAUUGGACAAUGGGGGGAACCCUGAUCCAGCGACGCCGCGUGAGUGAAGAAGUAUUUCGGUAUGUAAAGCUCUAUCAGCAGGGAAGAAAAUGACGGUACCUGACUAAGAAGCCCCGGCUAACUACGUGCCAGCA
This 515-nucleotide ribosomal RNA is filed under the name uncultured bacterium. RNAcentral describes it as "bacterial SSU rRNA". It matches the Rfam family "Bacterial small subunit ribosomal RNA", at positions 9 to 513 of the family's 1533-position model. The record is from RNAcentral.